GAUGAACGCUGGCGGCGUGCCUAAUACAUGCAAGUCGAGCGAACAGACGAGGAGCUUGCUCCUCUGACGUUAGCGGCGGACGGGUGAGUAACACGUGGAUAACCUACCUAUAAGACUGGGAUAACUUCGGGAAACCGGAGCUAAUACCGGAUAAUAUAUUGAACCGCAUGGUUCAAUAGUGAAAGACGGUUUUCCUGUCACUUAUAGAUGGAUCCGCGCCGCAUUAGCUAGUUGGUAAGGUAACGGCUUACCAAGGCAACGAUGCGUAGCCGACCUGAGAGGGUGAUCGGCCACACUGGAACUGAGACACGGUCCAGACUCCUACGGGAGGCAGCAGUAGGGAAUCUUCCGCAAUGGGCGAAAGCCUGACGGAGCAACGCCGCGUGAGUGAUGAAGGUCUUCGGAUCGUAAAACUCUGUUAUUAGGGAAGAACAAAUGUGUAAGUAACUAUGCACGUCUUGACGGUACCUAAUCAGAAAGCCACGGCUAACUACGUG
RNAcentral lists this ribosomal RNA (497 nucleotides) under uncultured bacterium. RNAcentral's name for it is "partial 16S ribosomal RNA". It matches the Rfam family "Bacterial small subunit ribosomal RNA", at positions 28 to 507 of the family's 1533-position model. The record is from RNAcentral.